Non-coding RNA from Xyrichtys novacula (pearly razorfish), 41091 nucleotides. The record is from the annotation of a GenBank genome assembly. Lineage: Eukaryota; Metazoa; Chordata; Actinopteri; Labriformes; Labridae.
CGUUAGCUUGUGGGGAACUUUUUUGGGAAAAGAAAGACUGAAAACAAAGUUUACCGGCGAAUUUCGCCGCGGAAAAUGACGAGAAUGAAUUACUUUUUUUCUGUUCCUGUGGAAACUUUACCUGCUUACCACUGUGAAACUGGAGGGGUGUAUAUACAUCGUAAUGAGGUAAGACUGGUCUCAUUUGAAAGAGAAGGAUGUCCUGAUGUGUUCUGAUAUAUGAUAGUGGGGUGGAGCUAGGUGACGGCCUCUUAAGCUUCCUCUUUUCUACUGGAGUCGUUCAUGUCCAUAGCGCGUUUAAAACGUGCAUAAAGUGUCUAAAAUCUUUGAAAAAUAUUAAUAUAGGUCAAUGAAACAUUAAAAAACAACAUUUUAGACAUUCUCUAACCCCCCCUGUAGCAAAAUCAGAAAAAAAAAUCUGUUGUUUCAUAUCGUCCUCGUGAAGCUAGAGGCUGGAGAUGAGAGCGAGAGACUCAUGCCACGGUCUUGCCCGCACAUAUGCGUGCACCGGGCUGUUCACGUGGAGGCUUCACCCAGUGAGGCGGCAGACACUGUCCAUUCUAUAUACAGUCUAUGUUAAAGACUAUGAAGGCUCAUUGUUGUAGGUGACAUGACAACUCAUUUAACGAUGGCUCUAAGGUGCUUUGGUGCCUACAAAACUGUGUAAAAAGGAACACCCUCUAUUUGUGACUGACUUUAAAUCAGCAGAGAAGCAGCCAAAACAGAAUAUUCUGGACAGUGGUGGCUGCAAAUCAUGCAAAGCCACCCUCUUAGUGUCUCUGACUGACAGAAUAAGAGAAGUAAACAAGUAUUAUCAGUCUCCUUCAGAAUAUUUUCCUUUUAACAUCUCAGAAAGAUCAUCUUUUAUUUACAUUAUGUAAAUAAAGUAAAGUCUUUUCCACACACCUAUGCCCAAGUAUCUAACUUUGACAGUCAGUUGGGAGAUAUUAAAAAUUUAUGCCAACAGCACAUCUCACUUUCUUGGCUUUGCAAAGCUCUGUGAACACAAGAAAAACCACUGCCAACCUUCAAGUCUUGCUGGAUUUGUGACACUGAGCACAGUAUGCAGAGUAGAAAGCAGGAGCUGGGUAAACAUCGUCAGAUCCCCAGAAAAAAAAACAGGCUGUCAUUCUUUCUGAUACGUUAAAACCGGUAAUGGAUCAGACUGUUUAUUUUUUGUACCCCUGGUUUUCUUCCUCUCUCUCUCUCUGUAUCUGUAUUCCUCUCUGUGUUUCACUCUGUAUCAGGUUUUUUUCAGAGGUUGGUAGGUCAUUGGUUAAGUUGUUGAAUUCCCCCUUCUCUCAGCAAAUGAUUGAGACAUGGAGGAGACACUGAAGUUCACACACAUACAUGGAGGGAGAACUACCAGGCUGUUAGCAAGUGGAUGGGAGUUUGUCCGCCUACACACUCAGAAGACCAAGAGAUGUCUAUGUGUGUCUGGGCCUGGCUGAGAGGCUGCUGGCUUGCUCUACUGUAGCAGGUGGCGAACAUUUUCCAUUUACAAGAAAAAUGCACAAAGUGUAGGCAGCAGAGAGGAGGUGCUGUUAUCUAUUCCUGCAUCGCACGCGGCUGAUCUGAUCCACUCUGUGGCAGCAUGACAGUCACGUUGUAUGGAUGCAGUUAACUCUGGCACAAAGUGUGGACUGAGGUGUAUUUUUAAACAAUAUGAAGUAAUGCAAAGGGAAAAGAGAAAAACUAACAGAACUAACUCAGCCAGAAAUUGGGACCAUUUUAGAAACUCUUUCAAAAUUAAAUCUGUCUGACUAAGAGAAAUUUCAGAGCAUUUUUAAAUGCAAAUAUUUGUUAUGGAGCAAUUAGGGCUGCAAGGAUUAGUCGACGUCGACGAAAAUCGAUAAUGAAAAAAGUUGACAAUUAAUUCCAUUGUUGAAUAUUCACACAUUUUUUUUCCCAGUAGAGUGAGGCAUCUUACUUCUUUACGAUUUCUGCCUAGAGUCAUAUAUGCGCAAUAGCAUCUCAGCCAAGUGGAAGGGUAUUCAAACAUGGCAGCGCCGUCAUCGCAUACAGCGCUUAAAACCUCCAAAGUUUAGGAGCACUUUAAUGUAGAUAAGGCAAAUAUCUGAAAUUUAAGAAAAAAUUCAGAAUUGUCUGAUUGGUCAACUAAUUGUUUCAAUAGUCGGUGACUAGUCAACUAUUAUAAAAGUCGUUAGUUGCAGUCCUAGGAGCAACCCCUCUUUCUCAUGUUGAGUAGUAAUCAAGCUAACAGCUAAUAUGGAAACCUGGUUCUCAUGGGGAUCCAUUUUUCAAAACCUAAAAAUCACUAACAUUUGAGUUCACUGAAACGGCAGUUCAGUCUCAUGGACCCCACAUGAACACAUCAUGUCAAGUGAAGUCACUUUGAAUUUUAGAUUCUGGAGCAUUUACCUUUAAUGACACACUUUUACUGUGCUUUAUUACCACGUGACUGAGAGCUUACCUGUACAGAUAGAGAAGUACCAAAGAGAGAGAGGCAGAGAACAUGAAGGGAUUUCUCUUUAGACUCUGAGCUUUUUAAAGUUAAGAGCUCCUUUUUUGUUUGGGAUUUUGACGCACUUGGCUGAGGAGCUAAUGAGCCCAUUCUUCUGAAUUGUUUUAUGAUGGCUGUAUGAUAUCUUCUAUGGAUAUGGAUUCCAUGUGGGUCCUUACAGAUAAAUACUGUACUUCAAUAUUUUGGGGCUUAUGUAACAUCUUGUCCUUUUACUUUAGAUUUUCUUUUGAACAAGCACAAUCUUCAACCUAUUACGUCUACCUGUGCAUCUCCUUUUUUUUCCAAUAAAUGACAAUCCUUAAGGAAGAGGGUUUCAACUUUAGAUAAGAAGCACAUGCUCGGUAUUGGCUCUUAUCAGCGUGACCCAGAAAAGUCUUGGAAAAUUCACGGGGGCAUUGCCCUGAUUUAGCUUUAUUUCACAUGCAAGACCAGUGAAAAUAUGAAGGGCGAAAAAAAAUAAGAAGGGGGAAAAAUGCAUGGAGAUGGUCCCUGCAUUCAUCCAGGAAUUGCAGUAUUGGAGAUAUUAUGCAAAUUGUGGAGAUUAUUCAGCCAACCCUUGGUUUCCAUAAUUAGGAUUAAGAUGGGACUUUGGAGAAUUCAUGGUCUCUAAGCUCAUCUUUCAUGGGAAUUGAUUGCCUGUACAGUUGACAGAAGUCGUAAAGUAAAAGCCUUGUUGGGUCUUGACUGUGGCACAUAACAGCAUUAUCAACGCAUGGAGUUAUACUGUAAAGGAAACACCAUCUGGGGUUGCAUUGUAAAGUAAAGACAGGGUCUGUGUAAGGAAGGAUUAUGCCUAUUGACCAGAGGCCCCAAAUGUAAGUCCUCUGUCCCUGUGUGCAGCUUUAACACUGCAUUACACCAAAGAUAGGAGAUAGGCUGCAUGCAUUUGGAAUACUGAAACAAAGACUGUAACUCCAACCCAGUGCAAGAUUUAGAUAUUCGGUCUGUCCCAAUAUGUAAGCUAUGAUAUGCAGGUGGUGGGUCAUUAUACCGUGAUUAAAUUCAGAUGGUCCCAAGCACUGUUUGAAGGGGAUCAAUAUUAUUUGUGGACCUCUGCUCAUUUCUGAUAUACCCCCUGAUGUCAGCUAGGGGUGGAAAUCACUAGUGGCUCCACGAUACAAUAAUAUCACGAUACUUGGGCCACGAUUCAAUAUCAUUGCCAUUUUAAACAUUUUGCAAGACAGUAAAGUAGAGACCCUCUUAUAAAAUUAACCCCACACAUUUUGUGAGAUGCUGAUUCAGACUAGGUGAACAGUAUUUGAGAGGACCUCUGGAUGCUCAGUCUGAAGUAUAACAGGUGAUUUUAUCUGAAAUGUUUCUCCCUAAAUUAGACAUGGUAGAUUUGCACACAGAUGAAGUCCUGUGGGUGAUACUAAUCCCACAGGUAUGGGGCUUAAGCAGUGACCUCACCUGCUACCUGUUUAUUAUCUGACUUGUUACUACUCAAGCUGUGACUAAGUAUUUGAUCUCGUCGUGUUAGGCGUACUUUCCCUCUUUCAUGUAAUGUGAGGGUGUUUGCGUCCAUAUCCCAGACUCCAGCCGACUCUAUCAUCACCACAACUGUCACAAUCAUGCUCCAGUGUUAAGAUUGACAAUGAAAGAUGACACGGGCCUUUCUGUGUAGUUGAUAUUUACACUAAACUGAACACUGAUGCUGAGUAAUGUCGAUGAUGGGCCAAGCGCGUCCAAUCCCAAAAUGUGAUACGCUUCAGUGGCUGAGGUCAUUACCCUCGGAUGGAGCACGCUUUUGAAAGCACUUUUAAUGAUAGGGGCUCUGAUAUAAUCCACUACAAAGAAAAGAGACGUUGUUUUACUGUCAGAUAGAGUUGUUACAGCUAGUUGAUUUCUCACUGAAUACCAUUUUGUUGUCAGUGUCAUGUGUAGCUUUGAUUUACAAUAAAGGCAUACUGCUCACACUGUCAUGGAGUUAGAGUAAAUAUAUCUGCAUUUGAAAGUGCGGCCCCCUCUGUGUUGUACCCCGCACUGUGUUUGGGGAUAAGGAAAGCAAUUUGUUUGCUGAAACCCGAGGAGCUUUUAGAUUGUGGUAUUCUUCAUGUUUAACAGUGUGAAGCAGAGAUACGUCUUUGAUCCUGAAAUAAUUUCAUGACAAAAUAUCUUUUGACCCUGAAGCGUGGUUUGAUGGAGAUAUUUGACCCCCCUGCUAUUUCGGGAACAGCUCCUUCCUGUGAAUGCUGAUGUGUUAAGUGACAGCGUGAUUUAACAAAGCAGGCAUCCACAUCACACAUCGCUCAAAAGAACAGAUUUAGUUUUUCAUCUUUUUUUUUUUUUUUACCUCUAACACCCCCGCCCCUUUUUUUCACCCCCUACUCCCACCACCUUCCCUUGGGCACUGAGCGCUGAGAUGGAAGUAAAGAUGGAUGAUGUUGUUUUGAACUGUGACAUGUCUCCAUGCGAGUCAUUUCAUUAUUAUUCAUAAAUAAUUGGCGGGGACGUCUAAGGAGGCUAUUUAAAGAGCUGAUUGCUGUAUUGCCAAUGUGCGCUAACUCUGAAGGUUUUAUUUAUUUUCUUUUUCUAGUAUUUCCCGCUGAGAGCCAAACUUGGGGUCUAUUUUCAUGAAGCUUCUAAUAUAGCACUUGACCUUUUGUUGAGUUUUGUUUGCCCCCUCUCUCUCUCUCGUACACACAGACACACACACACACACACUCUGCUUGUGUGGUCAAUAAAGAUACAUGUGUAAGAUAUUGAUUCCAGCUUUUUGAUCUCACCUCUUCCAGCUGAAGUCUCUCCAACAGUUUCGAGCUGGAGUUUAAUUAUAUCUAAUUCUCUCUCACUGGCAGCCAUAUAUCAACUCCAUCUCUCCACUAAAGGAUCUUUCUCCCACCUAAGUUGAAAAUCAAUAGGGACCAGUGAGGCAGGUCUGUCAUGGUGCAUUGGACAGAGGUACUGUUGAUUUGUUCUUCCUGACUGUAACAUCACAUACUCCAUUAGUUAUAUAUUGGCACAUGUGUGUGUGCGCACCUAGAGAUACCUGUGGUAGUCCAUGGGUGCGACAGAUAUUUGGUACACCUCAGGGUGGCAAAGGUUCAUCAUGAUUUUUGAAAAGACACAUGUCUGUAGAUUAUAUUUUUGUAUGAUAACCUUUCCAGGUGCCCAGCUAAAUAUUGGUUAUCAGCUCAUGAAGUUAACCACCCUGUAAGAUAAAUUCAAUUUUUUACACUGGUGUAUAUCUGGUUUAGGCUCAUGACAGGGACAUUUCUCAAAGGUUUACAAUAGACUGUUUGGUAUCAUUUUAAAGAGGACCCUUGUGGCUUUCAUUUAAGCCUAUAUGUGCUCAUCUUAGACCAACAUGAAAGUCACUAGAGCUCUUUAAAUCACAAAAAAUACAAAUUUUCCUGCAAUAUUUUCCUACACGAUAUACUUUCUUUUGGCCGUAUGUCACCCAGGGACAUCAGGGAUUCAAGAAUUACAAACUGCAAUACUAACCAAUAUUUAGCUGGGCACCUGGAAAGGUUAUCAUACAAAAAUAUAAUCUACAGACAUGUGUCUUUUCAAAAAUCAUGAUAAACCUUUGCCACCCUGAGGUGUACCAAAUAGUGAAAUUCUGGCCCAUAGCCUAAGGUACUCAGCAUGGUCAGUUAAAUCUUGAACAGUGUCCUUGAAGGUUAAAAAAUGUGAAUGGAGAAAAGAAAAUGUAAGAAGUUUAAGCAGGGAGUGGAAAUGAGGAAAUAAUCAGAUUGGAAACAAAAGAGUGGAUUAUUUAGCCCUUGUGGUUCAUCAGGAUAAGCCGGCAGCCUUCUGGUGAAUAUUGCAUGAGAGUGUUAGAUUAAAACAGAUGAAAGCGAAGCAGCAAAGUUGUGCGUGAACAUGAUGUAGGUUUAAUUUCACAUUGUUAGAGGGGUUCAGCUUUUAUUGGAGUAUGCAAUUGGAAUAUGAAAUGCAGUUUUUAUUGUGUUAUUGCGGAGCAGCAGAUAUAAUGCACCUCGCACAUGCAUGUGGGAUUAGGCAGGUGGAGGAGAAGGCAGUAUGUGCCACUGGGCUUUCACAAUCAGCUGCCUCUGUAAGGUCAAGCUUUCUGCUGAUUCAGGAUAUUGGGGCGUGGUAUGAUGAGCUUGCAGGAUAAAAAAAAAAAAAUACAGCAUGACGAGGGGAAGGGCCAAGCCCAUCUGCAUGACAAUACAGAAUUUAAUUUCCUACACGUGCUGCGCCAGGGCAUCACUUUAUAAAGUGCUUCAUUUCCACUGCAGCGUGACAGCAGGGCAACAUGGCUGGAAUGCGGGAUGAUGAAGCUGUGUGGUGGAAACAGUCGGUUGUCAUUAGUAUGCAGCGCUGAGCCGUCUUGUCUAGCUGGACCUCUUGCAGAAAGUCUCUCCCCCUGAACAGCAGAUAAAUUGUCUGUGGUGAAAUGAGCAGAUGAGGCAAAUCUGUGCCCUUUUCUGCACAAGGAAACUUUCUCCCAUGUUGUCGGAUUUGUUCCACACUCAGCAGACACAACAGUCCCCCAAAAAAGAGGAGUUGAAUGAAAAUUAAAAGGGUCAAAGUUGAACUCCCGUGUGAUAAUGCCAUGUGAAAGAAACAGAGAGACGGAUAGGACCUUAUUAAGACCUGUGCUCUUGCGGAUUAGCUUCCAACUCCUCAGUGAGUUUUAUCAGAGAGGAGCCUUCGAGCAUGACCGCAGUAAUGAACCUAUUAGCCAUGAAAUUGACUUUUCUGAUAAAUAAGGAACAGAGGAGUGCAGGGGACCAUUUUUGCAUUUCAAGCCUUUUGUUUGAACUCCAUAAUUACAUUUUAACACUACCACCUUUUUUUUCCAUCUGCAAGUUUUGUUCUUGGCUCCCUCUCAUAAGUACGCUGCAGAAAAAUAAUUGAACAAAUUUUCCAGGUAGAAACAUCACCGGCACACUGUAGCUAGUGUUAAAACAGAGUCCAGACUUGGACAAAUAUGAGAACACUCACAUUCAAGGCUGCGUGUCUGCAAAUGACUCAUAAGCUACAGCAAACUUCUCUGCAUUCUGAAAUAACACUUUAAUCAACUGCUGUGAUGACACUCAAACUUUAAGACCUCAUGGUGCAAAUGUCUGCCUUUAAUCACUGCUUGAGGAUGAAUGUGAUUUUCCAUCCCGCUGAAAAAAAAUGACAAGCAGACAGUCAUUUUGAAAGUUGGACAAGGAGCAGCACUGAGUCUCCUGCUCAAACGACAUGUACGAAGAUUUGUCACGAGGUGGCACAGACGAUUGAUCACUUUCUCAUUUAUCAGAAUCGAUUUUUCUUUUUGUCAUAUUACCAUCAACCAAGGUUGUUCAUCAACUAAGAGGUUCAAUGAUGACUUUCUGCCUCUCAGGGGAACGUCCUCUGCUCCACCCAAAAGUGUAACGACACCAAGUGUACAACUUUUUCACUCUCAUCUUUGUGUCUGUUACACCCCCUUGUCAAUCUCCAAAUUUGCACCUGUUUUUUCACUGAAUAAAUCGAAAGCACAUACGGAAAAGGUGGAGGUCAAGUGUCUGUUGUUGACAUUAAAAGCUGUUUUCAUCUUGUUUUGAAUAAAGCAACAUGAGAGUCAUGCAGUUUAUUGAGGAGUUAGAAAUAUUUCAUUCUUUUAAAAUGUUUACUUGGACCCGAGUUUCUUUCUCCUGCUAGUUUUGCACCACCAUAUUGCAUAUACAUGACUGUUUAAUUGAGAAAUAUCCAAAUCCAAUUGAAGCUGUAGUUUUAUCCUGAUUAAAGCUUGAUCAAAGGAGUCAUUGUUAUCCUGAUUGGGCCAUUUUUCCAACUUCAAUCUUUUAACCCUGUUGUUCUUGUCAGGGUUAUCCUAACAAGGCAGACAUUUGUCUCUGUUUCUAUUUUAUCCAGAUACUUUGUGUGUCACCCUGUCUGCUCAUCUGUGCAUCUGUUCUCAUAUCUUUCCUUGUAUCUCUCCUUCCUUUCUACUAUCUUGGUCCGUCAAGUUGUGGCAGAUGACCUUUCUGCGCGGUUCUACGAAAUGGUUCUGUCUGUCAAAGGAAGUCUUUUUUUGACUUUGUUAUUAGGUACUUUCUAUUAGUGGAUUUAUGUUGUCUUUUUUAUGAUAUUGCAAAGAGUACAUGCUAGAUUAUUUUUUCUGUUGAUUAUCAUGAAAAACUCCUUAUAAGGCACUUUAAGAAGGAAAUUUUGACUUCUUCUAUGGACAAUUUUGACUUCUUCUAUGCAAUUCAACCUCAUUGUCCUACACAACCUGAAACAGGUACAGACCAGGUACAGACCAGAUAAUCACCAAAGAGCUGGAAGUUCGAGAGUGUAAAUUCUCUAUCAGGAUGCUGAUAAUGUCUGCAUGUGGUUUAUUUAUAGUGAAAACACUGAAACUUUAACAUUAGAAAAUUAGUUAAAAGUUUAAGUGAUACAAAGGUAAGAUAGAAGCAAAUGCAGCGAACGUUACCCAGACCAUUUAGUGUUCGCCUUAGGCACAGCUGAUAGAUAAAUGAUUUCAUCAAUAUCAAACGGACAAUUUUUUAUUUGGACAGAAUUUUUAGUUCAACUAACGCACAGGUCUUAUAGUAAGAAAUCACCCUGAAAACAGUAAAAAUUUAACAUGUUAAAUUAAAUAAGACUGAAUAAGGGAUCACAGUGUCUGAGGAUGAGCUCUGUCAAAUUUUGCUGUGUGUGGCUAAUGUUAGCAGAGCUAGCACCACCAUCUUUGUCUAUGUUUACGUCCACAUGCCUGUGCUAGUUAUGCACAGGUCUGAUCAAGUGGUUGUAAGCCAGUUUAAGUGAACACAGUAAGCAUACGCAUUUAUCUCUUUCUGCUAGCUCAAAAGAUUUCUACAUUGCACUGUGCUAUGUGGUGCCAUCAUCUGUUGUUCUUAAAGACCCACUUGAUGAAAAUCAUGUUUUUUCUUGUCUACAUGUUCAUGUGGCAUUUUUCUGAUGCGACAGGGCAUAUCAUGAGAAAACUAAGUGCAAAAUUGCAUUUCUGAGUAUUUCUUGGCAGACUCAAACACUACGUUCAGAUACAGUGGGAUUUCCUGCGUAGCAAAUCCAAGCUCCACCCCAGGAACCCCGCUAUGCAGGCCACACUCAGAAAAACAGAGAAGACAAUUGCGACACGAUUGCAGUGCUUGGAAGAAAGCUAAUUAUAUUAGUUUUCAUCAUGCCCCAAAAGAUAUUUGAGUCUGAAGUUGAAGAGCUCCUGUGUUACCUGCCACUUCUUCUACACCAGCAAUGUUAGGCUGCAAGCUAGCGGGUGUGCAGAGCCGCGCUGUCUCCACCCACGACUCAGAGGCAAAGUGAUGAUAAACUACUGGAGCUCUGCAGAAGAAAAGCCCUUAAAAAUGACACAGGUAAUGUGGUUUUGGCUGAAAACUUGAUAAUCACAACUUAUAGACCACUGAUCACACUUUAAGUAUUAAAAAAAAAACACUAUCGGAGUGGGACUUCAACAUUAUCCCACACUUGGACCACCAAUACAUGUGAGCGUCACAGUUAAAGAAAUGCAUAAGACAGACGUUGAGAACGGCAACAGGAAACUGUAACUGCAAAACAGUUAAGAUACCUCCAAAACUAUAGGCAUAACAGACUCCUUCAGACUGCUUCACAUAGGGACCGUUUUCGACAGAAUCCAUGGCAUUACUAUGGAGAGCAUCAGGUACUCACUGAAACAGGUGGUUUGGAUAUUUCAUUGGCUGUGGAGUAGAAUACCAAUGAACAUCAACUUUAGUGAAAAAAACCUCCAGACAAUCUCAGUGUUUACAAAAUAGCCCAGCACACUCUCCUAUUUGCAUGGAUAUCUUGUGACAUCCAAUCAACAUAUCCCAUUGUGCUGGGUGUCAGACCCCAGUUGAUUGAUUGUAGUUCUGCUUUGCACCCCUCUGCUCAGGGCUCAGCUCUGCAAUGACAGAAAGGACACGCAGAUGAAUAAUGCAUGUCUCUAUCAGCCCAUCUCACAAGCACAAUGCUGAGAGAAAAAGAGAUAGAUAGAUACGGGAUGAGGCAGAUGGACAAGGAAAGUAUGGGAGAUAUUCCAGAGAUGAUAAAAGUUGGGCUCUGAAUGAGACAUUUAACAUAAUGAUGACAAUCUCUCCUAAAGUGUCCAAGAAAUGUGCAAUAAAACCAUAGAAACCAUCGUCUUUCAUUGAGUUAGCUACAGUCCAUCAGUAUGAUAGAAGGGAUUCUUUUUAGAUUCACUGUGAGGUUUUAAAAUUAAAAAAUCCUAACACAGGGUGAAGUGUCUGCACUGAGUAAUCAAAUUAAAGGUCUCCAUUAUUCUCCAAAGGUCUUUUCCUCUUGCUCUCAGAAUCUAUAAAUUGCAGGUCAAAACCUAGACUUGCCAUUUGCACCGAAACGAAAUAACUAUAGACCCUCUACACUAAAGAAUUAAUACCUUGAAAAGAAUUCAACAAUGUUCAUAAAAUAGUGUCAUGGACAGUGCAGGAUAGGGCCUUUUUCAUUAACCUGGCAAAGAGCCAUAAUAGCUAAAGGUCUAAGGCCAACAUAUUGAAUUUGUAUCAGUUGCUCUCUUUUUGGAAGGGACUUCAUUACACUGCAGCUUGUAUAUCUCUGGUAAAGAGUAGGAAAAGUGAAGGAAUAAUGAUUCAAAAGGGCGACCUAUUGUGUGAUCCAUCUUGUGUGAAGGGUCUUCAUAAUUACGACUGAUUAAGAUGCAUGACUGGAAAUAUCAAUAAAAUCAAAGCCAGACUUCACCAAUGAACGGCUGAUGAACAAUUUUGUAAAUUCAGCGAAUGCUUAAAAUAACUAAUCACACUUAUUCUUUGAACAAAUCGAAGUCUCCAUUGUGUUUUUCCUGAAGCGUUUUUGCCUUUUCUCUGAGAGAGUUCAGUAAGACUUGGAUACUGCAUAGGGUUUAUUUUUACAACAAAAUCUAACCAGGAGAGCGGACGCCUAUUAUGCACAGAGAAUGAAUCUCAGAAUCACAGCUGAAACAGACUGACCACAAUGUAAAAGUCCCAGACAAUAAUUACUCUUUUACCAGCUAUUGUAGGCCAGUUGCAGGGAAAGAUUUGAAUAUGACCCAGUUUGAGGAGAUUACUUGCGUUCUUCUGACGUCACUGUCUACAACGCUAGAGGCCUGACAGCUUCAGCAUGAAGGGAAAGACAUCUGUGAAGAUUUCAGGAGCCCACUGCAGAAUGCAGAGUUUUGGGAACAUGUCCAAUUGAAGGCUCUCUCAACCUAAACAGCACAUCAAAAUUAAAGUUCAUGAUAUCACUGGACUGUCAAUGUGCUUUUGAAAUCUUGGACAGUUUAGCUGAUUGUCAUAUCUGAUUUCUCUGUAGUUUUGUACCUCUAGUUUUAUGUUGUACCCACUUGACCUUUUGUUUUUUUCUCUUUUAACUCACUGUUUGAAUUUGUAUUCUCACAAAAGCCCCACCACUGACAUGCAGCAAAUAGGCAUUGGCUGCUGUGUCCAGUUAGUCUAUUUAUUCUGCACAUGUCCACAAUAAAUCAUUAAUGAAUAAAUGAUGCAUUAUUGGAUGUCAUUAUUAAUUAAUACUCACCUGUGUAUUUAAUUAUGAUAACAAAAUUAUCUCUGUGUACAUAAGUUUAUUGACCCUUUUUUAAUUAUUACUGUGGCCAGUAUCUGAGGCUAUAACUGGCUUGCUUAGACAAGCCACAUGGGUUGUUGUUGUUGCUGUGAUUUAUUGCCCAGGGAUAGACUCAGCCUGAAAUUCUCCAAGGAAAGGAAGUCCUCCUCUCUGCAGCAACGUAAGGAAGUGGGUUUUGUGGACUUUGUUUCAGGACUGGGCUUUUAUUCCAGUGAUACAGUUGUUGUAAAAAUAGGUUGAUCAAGAUGAUAGUUAAAAAAAAAAAAAGAGUCAUUGAGGCAGAUUUGAAAAAAGCGUUCCACCCCCCGCACACAAACCUCUCCCCUCUGUACUCAACGAUAACGAUUUUUGGCGUCCUUUUCCAUCAUAGCUCCUGUAGCUAAGCUUCUACACCACUUUUAGCCGUUCAGAGCUCCAAGGAGGGCCGGGAGAGUGGGAGGGGACAAGUCAGAACUACAGGAGAGGGGUGUGUCGAAUACAGCAAGGUGAUUGGAUGGAGAGUCAGAGCAGGAGAUUGACCAAUAGGAGCUGUCCAGGACGGAUGGCUCCCAUUGGUCAAUGUUUUUGCAGCCCUGCAUCUGAUAGGGUGAAUAGAUUUUUUCCAUUCUUUUUUCUCUUUACUUUAUGGAGAUCACACUAUAGGACCAUGAUCGCCAUAUAAACGAGGUUUAUAAUAAUUACCAACCUCUCCGAUCGUCCACCAUGCCUUUAAUUCAUCCCACGGUGGUGAAAUUUGCACUGUUAAUAGCAGCAAAGGAUCAGCAUAUCAAACAUAGAAGAAUAAGUGUGCAUGAUGAGCCUCAUAAUCAGCCUCAAUAAUUGCAAUGAUGACUUAUUUGGCAGCCCCACUUUGGGGAGUGACUGUGCAAAUAUGUGACUUUGUGGCUUUUGAGGGAGCUAAAAAAUGAGGUCAUAGAGACCAAAAGAUGAGGUGCACUAAUCAGCCCGACAGAAGCUGCUGUUGUCUAACAUCCCAGAGCCUUUAAGCACAAGCUAUUGCUAAUGCAGUCAGAGAAAAAAAAAAUCUGUAUUUGCUGCAUUUGUCUUGAUUCUGUCGUUCUGAUUGCCCGUUUGUUGUGGGAUAUAUUACAAUGAUAAAUCAGCUGGUUUUUAAAGUUAACUUGUGCUCACUGCCCUCAUUGAAGUAACCAUAUUUACCUUGAUUGAAGUCUGUUUCCCUGAAAAGACACAGCUCACGUCGGCUCAGUAUUGGUAGUCUGAAGAGUGAAAUUUAAGACAUCUCCCUGUCCUUGUAAAGUGUGCUGCUGGUUGAUGAAUUUCACGGUGUGUUCUUGUCCUUGUACAUUGAAUCCCAUCAUUUCUAUAUUCCCUUGAGGCAGCAAUUAGCCCUCAGUCUGUCAGCAGCUAAUGGCUUUCUAAUUGAGUCUCCACAGGUAGUGUACCUGUUUGUGGAGGUUAAAUUGGAACAAAAUUGGCAGGACACAGCACUCCAACAUAUUGUAGUGACUUCUUUUAUUUCACACCCAAGAGAGAGCAGAGGGGCUGAGGAUCUUACUUGACACGUGUCACCCUUGGUCUGGUUUUCUCCCUCAUGCUUCACAUUUAGUGUUUCAGGCUGUUCCGCUCUGACCCUUUUCUGAGCCAGACUGGCUGCAAAGAACAUGAAAGGUAAUCUCCACUAAAAACACACCAUAUCUAGAAGCAUGUGAGCACAUGUGUUGCAUGUGCACAUGCACCUUUUAAUACCAGUGAAAGGUUUGUGAAGUGCAAAUAAAUCAUGUGUCAUGGUUACUCACACCAGACUUUUGUUCUGGUUAGCAAACUCAAAUAGAAACAAAAGGAUUAAAUUAAAUUAUCAAUUUGGUUUUCUGCAUGAAUUUUAUUUGCACAGCGGCUAACAUCGCUGCACCAGAGCUUUCUUUGCAGUUUUUACCAAACAUGUCCAUCUUGAACUUUUCCUCGAAGCGUCUCAUUACUCCUUACAACACAUUUCUCUGCACUCUGCUUUUUCAGAGCCUCUUACCACCCCCAAUCUUCUUUCCAAUAUCCCACUCUGAAGUCCAUUUUCCACUUUCCAUUAUCAUUCCCUCACAGGGCCCUCUUUUUACAGCACACUCGUCAUCUCCAUCUAUUUGUGGCUUUUUAAAAGCCUCUCUCUUUUCUGACCAGACUGAAGGACACCAGCAACAUCACCAAUAUCAACUGAAGAUUUUCACAUUGAUCCUUUUAUUUUUGCUGUUGAAUCAUUCGGCCAUCAUAUCUCAUUUCACCCAUCUUCUUGUCUCUUUAGUCAAAUCAGCAGCUCUGUAUUGAUCAGUUUGAAGUGAAUCAGUACCCAAACAUGGACUCUCACUCUCAGUCUGGUAAACCAAGAAAGGAUUAUUGAUCCAGCUGCUCAUCUGGCAGCUAACUGUUUUCAUGUUGUAUGUGUCGCUUGUUGUUUACUUGUACAAGGUGUUGUGCUACAUUGUUCUUUGUGUUUUAAUUUUACAAAAAUAUAAAUGACUAAACAUUAGGGAUGCACGAUAUUUAUCGGACCGAUAAAAUAUCGGCCGAUUUGGGGGGAAAUUACGUCAUUUUUUAUCGGUCCGAUAGGUGCAUUUUUCCGAUAGAAAGAUCCGAUAUAUUAAUGAAAUUACGAGUAACGUUUGCAGGCGGAGUAGCCGCCCGUCCGAGACGCGCUGGUUACGUCAUCUAUCGUGCCUUACUCGCAGGUCCCAAGCCUGACCCUGUCACUACCUGACAGAUAAUAAAAUGUCUUCACCAGCAUGGUCGUUUCUCUCAGUGGCAGAAGAUGACAACAGCAUUGCUAUAUGCAAAACCUGUUCAGCGAGGAUUCCGAGAGGAGGAAAGAAGACGUCAAGUUUUAACACAACGAAUCUGAUAGCUCAUCUGAAAAGUCGCCAUCGCGGUGAAGCGGUAGUAAAAGAAUAUGAGACAGCCGCCGAAGCUGCUAGCGGUACUAAAGCUAAGACAACAACACGACGGAGGAUCGAUGUCCCCAUUCAGCAGGCGUUUAAGAACUGCAAAAGCUUCUCAAGAGACAGCGAAAAGGCUAAAGCCAUUAACGACAAAGUGAUGGAGUUCAUAGCGGUCGACGACCAGCCUUUUUCCGUCGUUGAGAACCCGGGUUUUCGUAAGUUCAUAGCACACUUGGAGCCACGUUACACUCUCCCAAGCCGCCGCUUCUUCUCGGAUGUGUCUCUUCCUGCACUCUAUGAUAUUGUCGCCACAUACAUUCACAACCUGAUCGACAAGAACGGACUACACGUGAGUUUUACCACAGCCAUAUGGACGUCAGAUGUUAGUCCGGUCAGCAUGCUAAGCCUAACGGCUCAUAAUGGCUCCUUUUACAGUUUACAGUUCUGUUUAACAGUUCAGGGGAUCAAAUGAAGUUCUGCUUUUUGCUCUGUUAUUGUUAUUUAUAGCAAAUGACCAUAUUUGAAGAGCCAAAAACUUUUCUUUGUUGUUCUAGAUGGGCCAGAGCAACAAAAAUAUCAGUUUUCAAUCGCUGCAUCCUGCACAAACUGCAGAUUAUAUGAAGAUUAUAAUAAAUGUAAAAAUAUGAAUUUAUCGGUUAUCGGUAUCGGUAUCGGCCAUGAGAAGAAGAAAAUUAUCGGUUAUCGGUAUCGGUUGAAAUUUUUCAUAUCGUGCAUCACUACUAGACAUUCAUACUUGUGUCGUCUGCUAUAAAACAUUAUGAAAGAAGUGUACUGGCCAAAAAACUGCAGUUAUGCUCCAGAUCUUUUCAUUUGAUUUCAUAAAAGGACAAAAUAAUAGAGGCCUAAAAACUGGAUUGAUAGAGGUCUCUCUCUCUUUCCACAUAUCCGUCUAUUUUGACCCAUUCAGUCGCAAAUGCCAGUUCACCAGUGAGUCUGCUUUUCUGCCUCCGUCUAUUAAAAAGGUUUUUUUUCCUUAACACUCUUACCAGCUGUUGAGUCGUUGUGAAUAACACAACAAAGUACUGUCUAGACGUGCUCUUUUUUAAGGGGACUUAGUUGUGGCCUGACACUAUAUAAGCAAAAGUGAAGCUUUUACUUUCAAUUGGUGAAAGUUCGUGUGAUCUGCUUAUCACACUCUUGUACGCAAACUUACACAGUUUAGGUUGAGUCGGUGCUAAAAAUGAAAAGCUGCACCUUAGAUUUUCAGUCAUUAUAGGCUGGGUUUCAACCUAGCAGAGGUCAUCUAAGUGCAGUAAUUAGCACCUCUUUUAACAUAUUUUGUUUAAUAUAAACAUGCAAGUAUGAGCAAAAUGCUUGCACAAUGUUUCAUUCAUCCAUCGGUCUAUCAAGCAUUUUCUUCCAAUUAUACGGAUCGUGGUCCUGGUUGCAGCAGCCUCUACAAGUCAGCCUAGACAUCCUUGCCCGCAGCCACAUGUCCUGGCUCCUCCUGGGGGAUUCCGAGGGGUUUCCAGGCCAGAAAGGACAAGUUAACCCGUCCAGCAAGCUCUAAGUCUAAAUGGGGUCUCCUCCCAGUUGGAUGUACCCAGGGAACCUCUAUGGAGGAGUCCAGCAGGCAUAAUCAGUUGCCCAAACCACCUCAAUUGGCUCCAAAGGACCUAACAGCUUGACUCUGUGCCCCUUUCAGUUGUAUGAGUUCCUGAUCCCAUCAUGAAAGCUGAGCCUAGCCACUGUUCUGUGAUGUCAUUCUCUUGGCCGCUGCAAAGCUCACAGCCACAGGUGAAGGUUAAAAUGUAGAUCGCCUGGUAAAUCAAAAGGCCCAGCUCCCUCCUUUAUGCAGCUAUCCAGUAUAUCAGCUGCAUUGCUGCUGUUGUAGCACCAACCCCUCUGUCAAUCUCACAAUAUAUUUCACUCUCCCUAGCAAAAAAAGACUUUGAGAUAGUUGAACUUCUUCACUGGGGGGAAAAUACUCACUCCACACCCAGAGAAGUAAUUCACUGUUUUCUGAGGAGGACUACUCGAGAGACCCUCUGAAGAAUUGCCACCUCGACAUGGUGAAGGGGUUUCAAGUCCCUGAGAACCUGUUUGCUGUGCUUUUGUUGGCACUAGCACCUGGUAGGUUCUCCCAAGACAAAUUGGUCCCAGGAGAGGUUCUUUUAAGUCCCUCAUGAGUCACCUUCCCUGGAGAAAUGACUCUGGAGUUUCCACCGUGAUCUAGCAGGGAGAGAGCCGGGACAGCAAGUGUCCUUUGACCAGGCUUUCCCCGAUGCGGCCCUGUCAGGCUCAGCCCUGAGGGACAGUCAGUGUUUUCACACAUGCACUAAGUUUGAAUUAACAGGUGAGCUGCAUGUGUGAACAUGCAGCAUUUCUCACUUUGACUUUUCCAGGAGUAUUUCCCACCAGGGCAUAAUUUCAAGGUAAGAUCAGGGUGAGCUCAUGUGAGAGCUCACCUGGAAAUCUCCGGGAAAAUUGUCUCCCGGCUCAGUGAGCUCAGUGAGCCAGCAGGCAGAGGUGAUGACAUUUAUGUCAUGCGGUCGGUGUUCUGUCUAUUUUUGCUGCUUUGUUGAAAAAUCCCACUUUUGCACAGAUCAGUAGCAGAGGUCACCAGUUUAUGCAAUGUAUUAAUGCUUUCAGGUCACAAACAUCCAGGUGUACUGUGAGAAUAAGGCAAGCAUGUUUGUAGAACCCAAAUAUGAAAGUUUAAUGUAAGGUUUCUAGUGAAGUCUAUCUCAAUACACCGCUACACCAUCACAUCAUUUUAUAGCACUCCUCCACUCUCUCCAGAGUAUGUUUGGUUCUCUAUUACAAAUUCAGUGGAUGGCAAGCACCCAGGAUUCUAGUUUUAAGCAGGAAAAAAAAGUAUUCACUGCGUUUACAUGCACAGUUUAACUAAGGACUAAGCUCAUAAUAUUUUCGCCUUGUACGUGUAUACAUGCAGCUAAGAAAUUAUUGACAUGAAUUAUUGACUUGAUCGUGUCCUCCUCCCUAAAACUAGGGGGCGAUAUGGCUCCCUUCAGCGACCUUGUUUCCGGUUGACCCCAUACAACUGUCAACAACAACAGCAGGUCCAUGCCAGACAUCAGAAGUGUCUACAACUGCUGCUGGGAAUUUUCGGGCAAGAAGUUGGAGCAUCGUACAGCAGUGUUUUUGUCGUACAUGAUGUACGCGCUACUUCUUCCUCUCCCUCCCCUGGUUGGGAUACGGAGAGUGCUGCGAGAUCAUACACCCCAAUAAAAAGUUUGACAUUUGAUGGACUUUAGAGGUGUGUCCUCACUGAAUCAUCCUAAUAGGCUGAGGACAUCCCUAAUAAUUUAUAGAGCAUGUGACUCAUCACAUUUCUACCCACAGCCUAUUAUUAGAAUUAUUCUGUACACGUUUCCAGGAAUCAGAAAAAGGCUUAUUCAUUUCUUUUUUUGGCCACAGUGUUGUACACGCUGUCCCCAUGUUGACAUUUUAUGUCCGGGUUAACGCAGCUAAUUGCCUACUCUCUUGUCUGGCACAGGGCUAUUUGUCUCCUUCUGUAACAUCUAUUAAUUAUGAAUAAAAUGAGAUCUCGUAGUGUCACUGCUCAUAUUUCACCUCCUACUCACACCAUUCUGUCCGCCGGGCUGCUGCCUCCUUUUUAUUACAUCGUGUGAAACUCUUAUGCAGACCCUGCUUCCCUCUCUGAAGAAAACGGUUUGAAACAGAACAUUUUUCUACACAGGUCUUUGGCCAUUAUGCACCGCUGAUAAUUCUGUGUUUCUUGAAGUGUGUUUUUUAUUUUUUUAAUGGAAUUCACACAUACAACCUCCUGCUUCUGUAUCUCUUUCCCACUCAUUUUGCUCUGAGCGGUGGAGCAGAAAAUAAGAGUGCACUGUAUUGUACCACGAGAGUGUGUGUGUGUGUGUGCGCGCGUGUGUGUACGGGGGUGUAUGUACUUGUACGUGCUCAGAGUAGGUGUUGUUUCAGAGAUAUGUGCGAUUAUGUGCAUGUGAAUUAGGCAGCGCUUUCAGCUGUCUUUUAGGGACAUCUAAUUCAUUUAUUACCAGUGAUUAGAAAAUCUUCUUCUUCAGGGGGUCAAACAUUUAUAUCUCCCUGCCUGUGCUUUACAGGUCACUGAAAUUAUGUUGGGCUAUGAUGGAAGGGAGGGCGACUGCACAUGUGGCUGUUUGUGUGUUUCAGAGUUAAUGUAAAGAGGUGCCUGAGUGUGUUUGGAGGGAGGGAGGUGAGAGAGAAGGAGGAGGACUGUGAAUCUAUGAUUAAUGCAGCAUUGCCCUUGUAUCUUUCAGAGAGGAGAGAGGACGGAGGUGAGGCUAAAAGCAUUAGCAUUCUGCUUGCGUUCCUGCAGGAGUCUGCUUUGCCCCUGUACAGAUGCUCCGCUGCCUUUCAGAUUACCGAACAGACCCUUCAUAGACACUGGAGUCUGGAUGCACACCAAACACCUGUUUUGAGAUCCACUCCAUAGUUGUCAAUCUACUUUAAUUUGUUGAUACAGUUUCAUGGUGUAAGCUGUGUUGUCUUCAGACAGCUCUCAUUCCGAUACUGUCACACACACACAACAUGAGCUGCUCUCAUUUUUCAUCCUGAAUGUAGCAGCUCUGUUUUAAUGGGCCGGGGAAGUAAAACAGUUCUUCCUUCCACUCGAAAGGUUGCACAAGGACCUGAUUUUGAGCCGACUUCAAACUCAUCACAUAUUUAAAUUCUUAACACCAAGCUGCGCUGCCAAAAGCAUUUUGGGUGUUAUUUGAAGCUGUGACAGAAGGCACUGUAGGGUAACUGGUAUGCAGAGACGGAGCUCAAGUAGACAGAAGAGUUGCUGCUUGGCCUGACGGUGCAACUUUUGACAUUUCUAGUUCUGUGCUGGGUUAUAAUUCAGAAAAUGAGCACAGCUACCCUAAAAACAAACUCUGUCACAAACUUUAUUUCUGUACAAAAGAAGUACCAACUAGAUUUGUGCACACUGCAGACAAAGGCGUCCCAAUUUAGUUUGUUUUGCCCUCAAAAGUGACACAGAUUUUGUUGUGAGCAGCAUCCUGGAAGCAGCAUUUUAGUACAAAUAGUGAUAGAUUUUUAUUUUACACACAGAGAAAUCCUUUCUUGAUUUAGUGACCUGACCUUGAACACACCAUUAAUCUCUUUCUUUGGUUGCUUUGAUUCUGAUGAUUUUGACACAGAUCCAAACAAUGAAUUUUUAUCUUCAACAAACAAGACUUACAAGGUUGGGUGAUUACUGUGGCUGCUUUGUGAAGUGAAGGGUGACCCUCUUGCAGCAGCAGCAGCCAAAGACAGCAGAGCGUGCCACAGAUUUGUUGAUCUACAAUGAUGGUGUUCUUCUUUGGGCGGCAGGAGCUUAGGAGGUGGAGCGGUCAUCCAAGAACUGGAAGGUUGGUGGUUCGAUUUCACCCUCUCUCUAGUGUUGAGUCCUUGGACUAGACACUGUUGUAUGAUUGUGAGUGAUGUUUGGUGGCGGUCAGAGAAGCCAUUGACAACAAUUGGCAACAACGUUUCUGUCAGUCUGCCGCAGAGCAGCAGUGACUACGAAGGUAGUUUACCACCACCAGGGUGUGACUGUGUGAGUGAAUGAACGAAUGAUGUAGCUAAUGUAACGCAUUUUGGGGGGCGCUGAUAAAGUGCUGAAUAAAAUCUGAUGCAUUAUUUAUUUAUUUAUUUUUAAUGCUGCAGAAGUUUUAUUCCCCUCUUGAAAGAAAUUAUUUUAGGACAUUAGUCACAUUCUCCAUCUUCCUCAAGUCUUGCUUUGGUAAAUACAGCCUAGACUUCCUGGAAACUGUUGCAAUAAGCAACUUAUCACCAAAAUUCUUCUUUUCAAUAAAGUUUCAAUUAAAAACUGUAAUAAUCAACCGUUGUAUGUUUGUGCACCAGCGAUUUGAUUUAACUCUGGAUAUAAAGUUCAUUGUAGGACCUGUGAGACUAAAUAGCAGAUAAACUCAAACUUUUUGGGGUGUUAAAAGGGAAGAACAGCAUUUUUAACACAACUGCAUUUUGAUCUCCAUAUAUAAUCAUGAAAACAACUUAAGUACCCAAAUGAACAAUUAACAUUUUUCCAGAGCGCGCAAUCAAGGGUGUUUUUGUGUUUAUGACCACUGUAGAUUAAAGACUUUUACAUCAAGUUUCAUCAGAAAAUUUCAAAUGCUUGUUAUCCUGGUAAAUCGGUAUGAUUGUACCAAAAAGUGUUGGAGUACUUGAACUCGUAUAACAGGUGCUGGUCAGAGGAAAAUUCUCAAAUUGGGAAAAUCUGAGUUGGUUGCUGCUAAGCAUUAAUUUUUAUAAUCUGUUAUUAGAGAACCAAGCUAGAUGAGACAGAAACCUGAUACAGUCAUUGCUCCAAAAAAAGCUCUUAGCAUUUAAUAGAAAUGAAAAAACAACAACAACAAUGUGUCUCUAUAAAUUAUGCUGGAGGAUUAUAAAUACACUAAAACAAAGUUAUUUGAGUUAUUUUAAAGAGUUUGAGUUAUAUCCUGACAGAGUUGUAGAUCUAAGCAUAAGAACGGGAUUCAUGUUGUAUGUUAUAGCGUCUUUUAAUUGCUCUGUGUUGUCUCCCAGACUGUGAGUUUCUCCCGGUAGCAACAUUUGUGUCAAAAGAAGUGAUUGUUUGUCAUGCCAGUGGUGUUGUAGCUGUUUAAGCAUGUCUUUUUGAUCCAUAGAGCCCCAGUGGUCCAGCAGCCCUCGUAACAAUCGAUUCCUGCAUUUGUGUUCCUGUGCUUGUUGUUGUCCUCCUCUUCCUCCUCCACUGGGCAGAGGAAAUGUUUGCACACACAGCUUGUUUGGGUAGUUAUUUCUGCUCUGCCUCAGGUCACAUAUUGAACUGAACCUGCAGUAAUAAGUUUUUCUACUGUGUCUCAGACAGGAGCUGCUGAUUGUCUCUGGCUUUUUUCUUUUUUAUGCCAUGGGGGUGUUUUUUUUUUUACUUAAUAACAGCCAUUAUUUACAAAUGAAAGUCGGUCAGCGUCAUAAGCCUGUGUUGGACUUGAUAUCCUUUUAUAUUGUGUUUUACUGUGCGGUUUUGUAAAGUAUCAUAUAGUAUUUUGUUGCAGUUUAUGGUAUAGUAUCUUGACAUAUUGUAAGUUACCCUGUAAUUAUCACCCUCAUUCUGUAAUCACUCAUUUAAAGGGGUCAUAGCAAUGAAACCACUACUUAAAACAAUACCAGGUACUGGUCCGGUUUCAAAAAAAUACAAUGGUGGACAGUUUGAUUGCUUCAACUGGCUUUACGCUCCUCUAACACUUUAUCAUCCUGACCUGGUGUUGGCAACAGUAUUAUCUUUUUGACAGCUAUAUAUUAUAUAUAUUUAAAUGUAAGAAUAAUAUGCAGGUUACACAAAUUUCACUCCCAGUUUGACUCACUGUAUCACUGCUUUUUGACUCCUCCUUAUAAUAACAGUAAUCCUGCACUUUGCUUCUGAAAGGCGUUUUGAUUCUUCAGCUGAUCAGAUAUUGUUACAUAUUUCUAAAUGAUUGUCUCGCAGUUUGUCAGUCAAAACAAAAUCUUUAUACUGGGCUGUUUGAAGUGUAAUGAGCAGUGGUUCAGGUAUCGUAUUGAAUCCUCUAGUUUCAUAUUGUAUUGUAUAACUUCAUAUCCUGUCAUAUCAUAUAAUACAUAUUGUAUUAAUUGUAUUGUAUAGUAUCUUAUGGUAUUGUUUUAUAUGAUAUCAUAUUGUGUUGUAUUAUAUCACAUUGUUUCAUGCUGUAUCGUAUUGUAACGCAUGGCACCAUAUCCUUACUUAUUGUAUCAUAUAUCUUAUCAUUGUAUCAUAAUAUAUCCUACUAUAUUAUAUACUAUUCUACUGUAUAGAAUUGUGUUGUAUUGCACCUUAUAUUAUAACAUAGCCUAAUGUGUUGCAGUGAACUAUAUCUUAUCAUAUCAUGUCACAUUGAGAUAUUAUGUAAGGUCUUGUAAUACAUCCUUUAUAAUCAGAAACCUUGUGCACAUUUAUUAGGGGUCCCCAUUACAGAGUUUUUUGGCUGUAUGAAAUGGUUGAGAUCCUUGAGGAAGUAAUCAGAGCUUAAAUAGGACGAAUGUAAAAUGAAAUAAACCAGUUAACCCGUGUGCAGCUGAUCUUUAAUAAACUGGUGUACCUCAUACAGGGAUUUAGUGUAGUUAUAAUACAGGAAUCUCAUGUACAGCCACAUGUAAAUUAGCAUGCACGCACACUUAUCAACCCACAUUCAUCUGUUUACAUCUUCUACCUCUGACACCAUCAUCCAUAUUUAUCAUGCAUGUUUUAUAUCUGCAUAAUCCUGUGGAUCCCGUGUGGUUCUAUUGUGGGAAUUCAUAAACACUGUUAGUCAAAACAAUGCAACAUCUCGUUUAAGAUGUGACCAUAUGUUAAGCUAGAUAUUUUUCCUGUUACCCUACAUUACCAUAUUUCAAUCUGUAGUCUGGUAGCAGCGGUAAAGUGGCUUAAUUUUUCAUCUGUUUGAAGUUUAAGGAGAAAGAUAUAACAGGUAAUAAAUAUUCCAGAUAUGCACAACUUUUGAAUAACCAAAUCUAAAGUUAACGAGUAUUAAUUAAAGGUGACGAAUAAGGCCACCAAUUCUGCAGUAAGGUAGUACAAGGUGUAAGAUUCUAGUUAAUCGUGCAUUCACUGAUAAUGUUUCCAUAAAAAUGUGAGCUUUCUCCUCCUUCCGCCUUGCGUGACUCUUGUUUGUGACUGACUGUCUGAGCAUAAUUUGUGUUGGGCUCUUUUGCACACAGACCAAGUGUUUCUGUUUCCCUCUGCUUCAGCGCUCGGUAGGAAUGGAUGACAGUGUCUAUAUAAACAACACAGUGGAGUUAUGCACCACAGACUCUUGUCAAGACGCCUUCUUUCCUUUUUUCCACCGCUUUGACUUGUGCUUAAAAUAACUUCUUUUUUUUAAGGCUUCUUCUUUGAUGGAAUAUCUAUUGGCCGUGCUUCACUUAUUGCACUAAUAAGAAAACAGAAAUGAAAAAAAAUCUCUUUAUUAACAUGUGUUGAUAGAUUUUACUCUUAAUGGAAGUGAAUAUCUCUCUAGAAAGAAGCUGUUAAGUGUGUUUUUUAUCAUUGUGCGGGAAAGUUGGCCUCUGGGCAUGAUCUGUCAAAUAAAAUAAGCAGGGGAGCGCAUGGUAGUAAAUGCACAGCUGUGAAGUGACAGUGGAGUUAAAAAUACAAGCAGACACACAGGUCAGCCAUUAGUGAAUGAGAUUCUCAGGAAGUGGGACCUGUUAUUGGUCCUCGCCAUGACUCUCAUGACUCUCAGCAUUUCCAGGCACCUGCACACGAAGGCAGGGUUGUUUUGAUGCAGGAAUGUGGUGCUUUUGUGUUUGAUGCAGCUUUAAUUGUGUUAUCUGUGAUGUAGAAGUCAGGUCCUCCAUCUGUCUUUGAUGCAUGACAUGUUGCUCUUGGGAUAAAGUGUCCUUGUGAUUUCCCUCCCAUUGGACUGAAGUUUGUUUGUGUCCCUGUCACCUUCACAGACAGGACUGCCUUUGCUAUACACACACACACACUUUCCCCUUUAUUGAUCUAGUUAUAUUUACCAGCACCAAGAAGGUGCGAUUUGUUGCAAUUAAGCCUGUGCAAAACCUGUAGCAGUGACUCCUCCUUGAAGGUAUACUUUAUCAUCAAAAAAGCAAUGAUCUCAAUCCUAUCAGACACUCCAAACUGACUGAUUUUUAUCUCCUCUGUCUCAGGGAGAGAUGGAGCGCUACAAACAUUUUCAGGUUAAUACUGAUAACGUUGUUUGGGAUUAUAAAUCAUAAGAGAGGAAAUGUUCCCACUGGUUAAUAGACUUGUAAUGACACUGGAGUUACCUAAUACCCCUGGUAUUCUGCAAGACAACACAUUCAUUAACAAAACUCAUUAUCAGAGGAGAGCUUCCUUUGAGCUUCGAACUUAAGUCCUGGACUAUCAUCAUGUCAGUCAUCUCUUUUUCCUCCAGACAGGUGAAGUCUGUUGCUGAACAGAACUGUCAAAUUCUACGUGUAACAUCUGUCAUCUGACAAAGAACUGUAAAAAACUUAUGAGAAAUUAGAGAAAGUAGAGCUUUUUUCUUUGACAGGCUUAGCCGCUUUGCAAAUAGAUAACUAAUGGGUUUUUCUUCCACUAAAAAUCAACUUUUGUGAAUGUGAUGGACAAGUGUUUACUCUCGGUGGAUUCAUGUGGAGUCUUUCUCAAACAUUGAGACACCUGCAACAGUCUUCACAUGCUCCUUUUGUAUGUUGUACCAAGAUAGGUUAUCAAAAGUUGUUGGUAUUAAGUGUAGCAGCGCCAACAUCAGCACAGGGGGCGUGGUGCGUAACGUGCCAGCGCAGCCAUUUUGCAGACAUAACAACACUAAGCGCAUUGAAAUGAAUGAAAUUAGGAUGAAGGUAGGUUUUUAAAAAAAAUAUUUAUUAGCUGACUACACAGUAAUGGAGAACGGAAUGGAGAGAACAAAACUCAGACUCAACAUACCGUACAGGGACAAGCUGAACAAUGAAGAAAUACAGCGUUACCUUCGCAAAAUUGCAAACAUUGCUGGACUCGACCCAUAUGAGCACACUGUAUGGUCAGAAGUUGAUUUCGACCUCACUACAUGAUAAUUUGUUCAGGGGUGUGUGUGUGUGUGAGAGAGAGAGAGAGAGAAAGGCAGACAUGUUUGCGUGUGAUCACCUGCCAUUGUGCGAACGACGGUUUUGUUGUUGUUGACACUGUGCAUCUGCAGUUUGUGUACCCACCCAGAUGUGAAAAAAACAUGGGCCAAGAGAAACUUUUCAUUAUGGAAGGAAUUAAAUGCAUAACAGCUUGUUCCUUUGAUGAUGCUGAAUCACAUGCACUCGGUUAAGUGGUGGUAGCAUCUCGAAAUCAUCUUCUGACCAUACAGUGUGUUCAUAUGGAUCGAGUCCAGCAAUGUUCGCAAUUUUGCGAUUCGCGUUCAGACUAGGUUCAGAAAUUUUUCCAAAUUGCUCUUAUGAGGUGUUAAAAACUAUCUAUCACCUGACUUUUUUAGUGAAUGGAUAAAAGAAAACUUCAUGGUGUAGCUUUUCUUUUGCCAAUACUUUGUUGUAUCCCCUCCUCAGAAUGUGACACAGCACUUUCUAGUAACCCGAUUAACCCCAGCCAUUUGUGCAUCGCCGUGAACAUUUUCUGAACUGUAAUAGUGCUGUGGGGGUUCUUAAUAGUCUCUAUAUAUCUUCAGGCUCAGUGCUAUAAAAUGGGCGUCCUCCCUAAUGUAAAUACAUUACAGUUCCCAAUCUUACCAAUGAGGUUUCAUCUCUCCAGGAUGCACUGGGUGCAAGUCCUGUAGGACCCAGAUCUACUGGAAAGCAGUGUCUCCAUGCCUUAUUUUUCACGAAGCAAACAGUGCAUUACGGUCCUCCCACUGUGCCCCAGGUUUGAAGCUGCUGUUGUCAUUAAUUGUGGUCUCAGUGUAGUGUUGGUGCGACCCAUUACAAACCCACACCUCCGUCUUUGGCCCUGUGGUGAUGCAUUACUCCACACAUCUCAUUAAUAACCCCACUGCAUAGAGCUUGGUGGAGGAAGAGACGGUGAAAGUGGGCCACAGAAAAUGAUGGAGCCUACAAAAGCUGGUCCAUAUAGGUACAGAGAAGCAAAAGCAAUUAGCUUUUAAGACCACCUGCAUGGACUCAUCACUGGGAUUAUCUUACAGAUGGGUCAAACAUAUCCUUUUAACAGUAUUUUUUUUUCCAGAUGCUGCUGAGAAAUAUUUUUUUAUGAUCUAAUGGGCUGUAUGAAGGUUCUACAUUAACCUUUUAGGGGAGAUGCUGGUGCAAGACUGGCCGAAAGUCUGAAAGCUCAAGUAUAAGCAGCAUCUAGGUCCUUUUGAAAUCUGCAAAGAGAGAAAUAAAACGUGACAAGAAUUGUAUAAGGAAAGACUCUUGUUUUUUUAUGAAGAUAGGCAGAGUAUUCCCAUUUAUGAGAAAACAAGGUCAAAGAUCCCACAUGAAAUCUUUGAAUUACUCUUGCACCAAAAACAUGAGUAAAUUAGUUUGUGACUUUGUAGGUGCAAUGUUCCCUGCUCAAAGAUUUUAGUAAUAUAACAUAAUAUAAAAAUAUAGCAAACUUAACUGCUUUCAGACACAUAAAGGACUUUAUAGCAUAUUGCAUAAAUUGAUGAUUUAUUGGAAAGAAACAGGCGACUUCUUAGUUUUAUCACCCAACCAUCUGUUUUAUAAUUGGGUGGCACUGCCCUUUAACUUUGGCUGGCCUUUCACAAAGCUAUAAUACAGGAGCAGCUUUUUAUGAACUCAGCUGCAUUCAGGAUCUCUGCAUUUAGUUUGAAAGGAUGUGUUUAUGAUUCAUUCACUCUGGCAGAUGACAGGGCUUUUCAAACUGUGUACAGUUUCCCUGAAAUGACACUUGUUUUUGCUUUUUAAAAAAAAAAGGUGUCAAAAAAUAUUGGAUGUUUUUCAAAGUCCCUUUUAUCCUCCUCUGGGUUGUUACUGAAUAGGUCUUUUUUACUUCAUGAUAUUCACUUAUUUAAUUUCAGAUGAAUUAUGUGUACUAUACAUUUAAAAAUAUGUGCAUAAAAAUAGAUUUUAUUGCAAUUGUGACUUUUUAUCUUGGUUUUAUACGUAUUUGUCACCCAGUAAUUUAAGUAAUAUGCUUCUCAAAGCACCUUGUCAAUUCUAGGUUUUUAAGGUGCUAUAUUAAGUUGUCACUUUUUGAUGUAAAUGUCAGUAAAUACUGAACAGAAAGAGUUAACUUAGCAUAUCAGUAUCAGUGCUCAAUUUCAUGUCUAAUUUUACAUUUACACAAAAUUAAAUAAAAUCAAAAGGGUCUUUAUUAUUGUGCAAAGUCCCCGUGCUCAGUUAAUAAUAUGUACUUAAGGCACAGUGAAACAAAUAACAGCCCUGUUAUUGUGCAGUCUUGAAAUGUUCAGAGUAGAAAAGUUCUAAAAAAAUCUCUUUCUUGUGGUUGAUCUGAAAACUAAACCGAACCAUGACCCUUGAACUGUGAGCUGAACUGAACUCAGAGGUUUUUGAUCCAUGAGACUCCUGUGAAACUCAUAUACUCAAACUGUACUGACUCUGCAGUGUGAUUAUUCAUAAUGUGAUGCUCUACUCACACAUAAAUAUAUUCUCCGCUCUAACAGUUCAAGCACAGUCAGAAAGUAGGACAGUAAUGUAAUUUCUGCUGGUUUGGCUACACUCCAGCACAUUAGAUUUCCAACUUCCAAAAUGAAAUCAAACCUUUAUAUUUCACCAUUUGGAUCUAUUACAGCCCCCCUCUUGUCAGUUUGUGGUUGAAAAAGGACAAAGGGGAUCCUUUUUAUUCAUCCAUUGAUUUCUUUGUCCAGCGUUGAAAUCAUUCCCAGAAAAAAACAGUAAGUUGUUUGUAGGAGCUGCUUGUAGGAGCAAAAUAAAGCCUUUAACUUCCCCUCACACCUAUUUAUUUUGGCGGGCAAUCUUCACACAGUAUUGUUCCAUUUUCUUUUCCCAUUUUCUUUAUCUCCACCUACAUCUCUUCAGCGGACUAACCUUUUUCAGUCUAUCCUGAAGUCUUAUCAGCUGCUUUAAAUGAGGCCGGGAGUUUUCUUUGUGCUAAUCGUAGCAUGUGUCACUUUCCUCCAGCAAGACUGGGAAACUCCAUAGCAAAGCAAUUUGGCACACCACAUCCCCCAGAAUGAACAGUGUGUGGAGAGGCACUGCCAGGACUUGAUGGCUUCAUCACUCUGUCACUUGGUGAGAUGCAGAGAUUUCCCCAUUAAUUCAGUUAAUUGUGACAGGGACAGCGUGAUACUCUAAACAGCACUGAAAUACAGUCGAAACCUUUAAAGAUUCAUGUUUGCACCCUAUAAAUCAGGUUUAACUGAGUUUUCUGUGAUAAUGGAUUAAGACAGGUACAUGAGAGUAUGCCCCUCAUUCUUUAAGUCUGAAUAAAUUGUCACUUUCACAAUUUAUUAACAGCUGUUGGUGAAUGAUAUAGCAAUAUAGCAAUAGCAAUCUUUAGUAAAUAUUGUCAUGUCACUUCUUCAAAAGAAGCCUCAUGUGAAGCCCGUGUGAGAAACUUUUGGUUUGCAUGAAUUUUGACACCUCCUGUGGGCAUGCAGUCUUUGCUUAUUGUUUCCUUUACAUGCUUUAGUUGAUUUGUCACUUGUGCAUAAGUAAUGUUUAAUGCCUCAAACCAGCACAACUUCCACGGUCUAAGUUUUAUAUUAACAUAUUAAGCUAACUUUACACUUACUGACUUUAACAUGAAAUAUUUUAAGACUGAAGCUAAAACCUUUUGUGUUUAGGCAAAUUUCACUCUCCUAACAAGCUAAUCAAACAUUUUUAGGAGACAUUUAACUUGAGACAGCACUGGCUGUGUAUUUUCAGGUAUUCAAAUGUAAGUCAAACUGUCAUGGUGUCGUUCAGUUACAAAACCCCAAUUGCUCCUUGCUUCAUAUUUUAAAACUGUGUAUUUUGCCUCACAUGAAAGAAGACUUUUGGGAUGGAGUUUGACAAAUGUCACACUCCUGCUUUGAGUAACUGUAAAAUAGGACACAAAGACAUGUGUGUUUUAACUUAUUUGAACAUGUGAAGAAAUCCAACUCUUGACAUGACAUUAUGCCAAGCAGUGGUCAUAGUAGUACAAUGACUGGGUAAAUUUGUUUUAUCUACUAUUAAAUAGCUGGUUAGAAGUACAUAGAUAGAAAUACAUCCAGCUGAUUGUGGCAGUUUUCAGAAAUUCCCUUUAAAUCAUCUCUUUGUGGACUUCUGAACCUGUGCCACAGUUUGAGAAAAUCUUUAGUCCCUGGUAUGGAAUAUGCAGCUAGACAUUAAAACAAACAAAAAAAAAACAUGGGGCUGAAUUUUUGGGUUUUAACUUCGAAUCGUACGGAUUUAAACUUCUGACUUGCAGUCUUGGGACUCCUCUAUUUGCCCUCUUUUUUACCUCUAGCAUAUAAAACUCCAAGGACACUCCAGAAGUCGUUCCUGCUAUUUGAGUUUAACUUCUGAAGUGCAGACAUCUGGGGAGACUUCCUCAGCAAUACUGAAGAAAGCUCCUGCCUCCCUCCACCCAAGCCUGUAAAGUGCUACCACUUCUAGCUGAUAGUUAGAUCACCACCUAUUGUAAGUGUGAAAGUCCAGACAUGCUGCUCCAUCUGUUGAGAAGGAACAGUGAAUAUUAGCUUGUGUAAGGGUUCUUAUCACUGCUUAAGUCGGCCAAAAAUCCAUGUGUUCGAGGAUGAACCGUGAGGCUGCAAGGAUUAAUGUUCUGCAUCAGUUUGAAAUUGUAUUUGCUUUUCACAUAAAAAAGGAGUCAUAUCAUCAUCCCCUCCAAAAUAAAGCAAAGUCUGACCACUUGAAAUCCAAUAUCUGAGGACCAAACCAUGUUGGCUCUGUUUGUUUGAUUUCGAUGUAUCAUUGGUCAGAAUCAGAUUACAAGUGAAGGCGCCCAUGCAGUCUGGUCUGCCACUGAUCCCUCUAACUUUUCCCGUCUUCCUCAUCCCCAGAGUGUAACUGUCAUCUGUAGCCCAAGCUUAGUUUCGGAGCUGAGAUGAUCUCAUUUUCCCCUGGAGAAAGACAGGCAAGUGUUUCAUUUUUCAUGCUCCUUGUGCACAGCUCCGAACUCUGCAACCUUUUCCACAAUUGAUACCAGGGGAGAGGUUGUCAGGUCCCACUUCUUUGUUCAGGAAUAACAAUUGUGUGUCUUUUUCUUCGCAGAAAGGUGUGAAUUAUUCUUACAUCACAUGUCAUUGCUAACCUUUAGAUUUUUGUGCCUUAGAAAAUCAAAAAGGAGCAGUAUGUUCAUAUGAAAAGGUGCAGAUCCGGCUUAGAAUAGACACUAGUAGCUAUUGGGAAAUAAAGCACGUGAUUUGACUUGAUUUCUCGAUGGUUAUUUAAGGUUUUAUUUGCAGGGAUUUUUGUGUGAAACUUCAAACUCUUUAAUGCCGGCAUCGGUAUCGGCAAGUACUGGAGUCCAGGUACCGAUCCAAUACCACAUAAUUCAUUAAAUUAAUAAUUUUUUUACUGGUUAGCUCCGUUGGCUCUGACACGGUUCUUCUUCGCCUAUCUAAAACGGCAUGGAUCACAUGACAGACGCACAGCAUCAGAGCCACAGCCUGUCGACACAGUUGACAAGGCUCGGACGUAAGCUAAGGAGCAGCUAAUUAGCACUCGCGUUAUGUCAGCGGUGUGGCAGUAUUUCACAUCGGAUGCUCCCACCAUAAGACCGUGAGAUGCAACAUAUGCCAAGAAAAUAUUUCGAGAGGUGGCACGAGUGUUGCUACUUUUAACACCAGCAACCUAAUGAAACACCUAGAGACGUGCCACGCUAAAGAGCACGAUGGAUUUACCAGAGCAAAGGGGAAAAAGAAGAACAAGCCGUUGCAGCAAACUCUGCAAGCUGCCUUCCAUCAAUGAGAUAAAAUCCCCAGAGACAGCCAAAAAGCAACAAAGAUAACAGACAUAAUUGUGGAAUUCAUUGUUCUUGAUGACCAACCACGUCUGUCGUCAAAAAAUGUGGGAUUUUGCCGCUUACUAAAGGUAUUUGGAGCCAAGGUAUUGUUUGACGGGUCAUAAACAUUUCUCAGAUCAUCAUAUCAGUGAUAUCACAGUCAUGCAGGACUGGUUUUAUUUAUUUUUUUUAUAACAUACUGGUAUCGGAUCAGUACUUGGUAUCGGCUGAUACCCACAGCACAAGUAUUGGAAUCCAUAUUGGGAGGGGAAAAUUGAUCCACUAUGUCCACUUUCAUUGGUGGCAGAUUUUUUUGUCUUCCUACUCCUUCGAUACAUGUGGUCAGAAGAGUCUACACACCUGUUCUACAGGUAACAGGAAGAAAGAUAGAGACAGAUUGGUAACAGAACUUGUUAAAACAAAACAGAUAUCAGGAGUCUUACCAGCAAUUUCCACCGCAUCCGGAACUACUAUGAAAAGGCCGUAUCCACCGAUUGCAGCUGAUCGUAACCAUUCAAGUUGAUGUGUCAAUUUUCACCGGCUUUGUUCCGUUCCACUGCGGAUCGCCGAACUCUGCAGCUGAUCGCAAGAGUUCUAUUUUUUCUUGACGUCGGAGCAUGCUAGAUAAAAUCAGCACAGAUUAGCCCGUGCUGGAAAAGAAGUCGGGCACAGACACAUAAUAAAACACUCGUAUUUCACACCAUGCAAACAGGCGGAGAUGAACAAGUGAAAGGUGUGGUGAAGGCAAGUUAAGACAGCAUUUCACCCCGAUGACACCAUGGAUGAGAGGAAGCUGACUUUAUAAGUCUAGAAGUAGAUUCCCUUCACUGGAAGGACACAAUCUACUGCUUAUAUGGUUAGCCUAUGUGGCUAAAGACAACUUGUUAUCACGUGAUUGCACGUGAAUCCGCGGGUUCUUCUGAGUUUUCACGAUUUCUGCUGUCCGUAAUCUGCCAUGAAAUUGGCCUCACAAACAGACCCGGUAGGAACUGGCAUAUGGAGAAAAUCGCUGCCGUUCCGGAUGCGGUGGAAAUCCUGGAUUAAAGAGGUGCAAACACAACAAAUUUUUUCGACUGUUGAUCCUACUUUUUAUUAAUUACAAAUAAGCCUGGUCAUGCCUCUGUUCUGGACCAGCGUCCCACAUACACUGUAGUUCUUUGCGAUAUCAAUACUUGACAUAUCACCAGUAUCCAGUACUGCUGUGUUCCCUGCUUGUUUGUGUACAGGGAACCAUGGCAACUGAAUCCAAGAGUAAUAUGUUUGAGUCUAAGCUUGUACAUUUUGUGCUGCAGCAGAUCGUAUUUUGAUUAUUGCCUCAAAGACUAGAGCAGAGAUGUCUAAGGACAAAGACAAUAUGGCCACUAAGAAAGAGGACAUGGGACUUCUGUAUAUGUCCACCAUCAAGCAGACCAAUCACAGGUCUUGCAGGUCACGUCAUUUUGUUGCAUUGAUACAUUUUUAACAAUGCUGGCAUACCAAAUGCAGCCAGGAUGCACAGAGAUGCCCACCCACUUUGGCUAUGUCACUCAUUCUCAUGAAUUUAAAUGCCUUUUAAUAAAAGCAAAACUUCACAAAUGUGUAUACUAACUUUUUAGGAUACCAAUGUUUGCAUUCAAGACAGGAUUUUGUCAUAAUGAGAGAGCACAGGUUCCAAAAAAAAGGGGGUGCUGCCAGCCACACCCAGGAUGGAAGGAGUCCCAGAAUGCUCUGCACAGUGAUGAGUCCAUCAGCAAUCUACAAUAAUGAAUAGGGGUGAAUUUUUCAGCUGCAUCUGGUGUGUUAGCACUGUGAGGUGGUGUGUGUGAGUGUUGGCUUUGCACAUAGGCUUCUGUGUAGGGUCCACGGUCACACAGAACUACAGUGUAUGUUUGAUGCAGAAGCAUAAAGUUGGCUUAAAGUGGUUAAAAGAUUUUCUUAGGAAAUUCUUCUCCAAAGUUUGAACAUCAAUUGGGUUACUUCAGGCCUCAAAAACUAGUGGAAAAUCUUGAACCCAGCAUUGUGAAUCAUGCACUGUAUCAUGAGUAGUUUUUGUCCCCGAAAAGAAUUGGAGGUUGAUUAAUUCACAAAUUGUAACAGUGCACAUAUUUUAUGUAUUAAUUUUUCAUCACACAUCUAUUAAGGGUACUUGCAGGGUGUUACUGUCCAAUCUGCAAAGUGGAGUUUCCUGACCACGAUCACAGAAGCACGAAUUCUGUCCAACUCAUUGAACUGCUCACAGAUGAAAGUGUGGAAAUCCCUCUUAAUGGAAGAUGCAGCUUUCAACCAUUAGUCAUGCUCGCAGAAAAAUAAUGUUUUAUGUAUUAAAUUUCUGAGGCUUUGCAACAUGAUGCUUUUAAAUGUGUAAUGUUAUUUUAGGAAGAUAAUCCACAUUUGCAGAGAUCUUUCAUUCAAAAAUGUAGGGAAAAAAGCUUUAUUAUCCACAGCUUUCCUUUGAACAAAUCUGAGAGAGAAAUAUCAAUACAUAAAACCUCAAAAUCAAUUUCCCUCUGAAGUGUGUGUGUCACAACAUUCAUCUUACUCCACCCUCAGCCUCAGACAUAAGAGAGAGUGAGCACACUCUCAGAAAUGUGACAGGUGUGUGUGUGACCUGCCCUUUUUUCAUCUCUUGCUUUUAAAGGAUGUGUCAUACUGUGUGCGAUCAGUUGUGAGUCUGUCACUGUGUGUACUGUCAGUCAGAUUCCGGUUUUGUCUGGUGCAGAGAAAGAGAUGUUAGAAACAAGAGGUGAAUUAGAUGAAGAAAAAAAAUUCUGUGGUUACCAGGUGACAGAAUAUCUCUUAAAUUCGCCGUCCAAAGACAUAAAAGUGGCCAAAGUGAUUCAAACUUCAAUUUCACAGCUACUCAGUUUGAUUGCUUUGUGAACAGUCUGGCAGAGACUCUAUCAAAGCUGUAAAAUCCCCUCCUGUAGCUUGAAACCUGAUCUUACUGUUCCUUCUUGUCCAUUGCAGGUUGCUUUGUCUGCAAUUUGCAAGCUUUGGGUCGCUUCAAGGAGUCGGGUCGAUUCCCCUUUAAUCCCUGCCGUUAUAAUUAUACUAGAGCUCUCACCAACCUUUGAUGAACUUGAAGUUUGUUCACAGGAAGUCUAAAAAUAGGUUACUGAAACAUAACAGCUUCUAUAUAACAGGAAUAGAGAUACGGAUUUAAAUCAUCGGCACAGUACAUUGCUAAGUGGAUAACACCAAAGCAGCUUUGAACAACAUCAUAACAACACGUCUGAGGGUGAUAAUUACAUACAUGUAGGGGGGAAAAGUGCCACAAUCCACACGUUUUAUUAAAUUAACUAGGGUGUCCUCCUUAUAGCUAUAUCUGGUUGUAAAUGUCUGUGGGGGGAAACUAAAAUAUCCUAUAUGUGGAGCUUGAAGUGCACAGAAAGUGAUGAUAGUACAGCCUCUAAAUGGUCCCUGACAAAAUUCUGCAGGGACCAGAUAUCAAGCUGCCUCUCUGACAGAUCCAGCAGCAGAUCUCUUGGUAUUUCCCUCACACUUUCACAUGUCUUGUGUCUGUUGCAAAAAAAAAAAAAAAUCUGGGCUAGUCUCUUGGCACACUGUACUCCAGAAAUACCUACAGGUGAUAACUAGCCAAGAUUUUGUAGCAGGUGUCCUGUCACCCUCACCAUUAUGUAUGCAUCAUACCUGUGGGUGGAGGUGGUAAUUAUCUGUUGCUUUGCCAUUUUUAGAUUGUUGCCAUGACAGCUCUCUCUCUGUGUCUCCAUCUUCUCAUCAUUUUUUUCUUUCACGUACUUUCAGUGUCUCUUUUUCCUUCCAGCGAUGUGUUAGCACACUUUCUAUGGUCUUCUUUAUUAAAUAGCAAAUGGACUGUAUGUUUCUAUUGUACUUUUCCAUGUUCCCAAAGCACUUUCUUAUGCUUUAUGUUACAUGCGCACUCUAUUAACCGUAACCCUAUUAACACGCUCACUCAGUUAUGGUUGAAGAUGUCAUGUAAAGUAUCAAAGUAAACAGAAUGGUUAAUGUUCUUGCACUUGAACAGUCCUUUUCCAGUCUUUUCAACCACUAAUAGCACUUUCACUCUACCCUUCACAUUCACAUGUUCACACUGCAUUUAUACACUUAUGGUAGAAGGCUUUUAUGACAGGAGACCGUCAGUGUUAGCUAAUCUGGUUCAUAUACAUUCACACAUUGCUGAUCGAGGCACUGGGAGCAACUUUGGGUUCGGUUUGUUGUUUAAAACCUUUCGGCUUGAUAGUCUUUAUAACAUGUAGCAGGACUGUACUGGACUUUCACCUCACACAACUGCUGCAUGUGUGUGUUCACAAGAUGGGGUGGUCCUGACAGUGUGACAGCGCCAUCCGUCAUGGUCAGAUCGGGUCACACACCCUGCCCGGUGGGCUGUGGCCUGCAGGUAACUGCAGCUGCAGCACAGCGUCUCAGCUGUCAUCUAUCUGCAGAGAGUCAAGGGUGACAUGUGCUGUCCACUUCAGUCAGCUACAGUUUACACGACAUUUGUGCAAAUAAAAGGACAGGUCUGUUUGUGCAGCCAAUUCAAUUUUGUAGCUUUAUUGAUGCUGAUAUCCAGUCCAGUGGUGAAUGAUUUACAGCUUUGUUGGCCAAUUUUUUUUUUUUUUUUGCCUCUUUGCAAAUUCACUGUUUUUGUUACAGUUUUUCCAAAGGUUUCAAACUGCUUCUGUCACUUUUUUAUAUUAAAUUUGUUGUACCUUAACCUCCUAAGACCUGACGUCACAUGUGUGGACAUCACAUUUUUGGUUGUCAAGACCACAAUAUUAAAUUUUGUUCACAAGGGCCUUCUCUCAAAAUUUAAAACGAAUGUCCUCAUAUGUGGACAUCAUUUUUCUCAGAAACUACAUCAUGUAAAAAGAUCAUUCUUUGUUUUUACACUCAUCAGGUCCCAAUUAGCCUGAAUAUCAAAGAGAAAAUAAAAAUGCAUGCCUUGCAAGAGUUCGGGUCUAAGGAGGUUAAAUAGUGAGGAUCUUUAAUGGUCCUCCAUCUUCUGAACUUCACACAGUGCAAAUAAUUAAUAUAUUAAUCUGAGAAAGUUAAAUCAUAACUGAUAAAAUGUGUAAGUUAGAUAUCAUAAAGAAAUAUCAAAAGUUCUAAGAUUGCAAUACCUUCAGGGUCUCCAGUCUCAAAGUGUUGGUAAGCAUUACUUUGCUAAUCAGGUUUAAAUUUAAAACUUUAGAGAAAAUACUUCGAUAAAAUCACAAAAAACAUCACCACCACAUCACUUGAAACUGCUGAAUUACUUUGUCUGUCGUAGAUGAUGCCAUCCUGAGUCAAUUGCUUUUGUUCCUCGUUGGCCACUGUAGCCUCAGUGACAGGAGAGAUUAGUGUGGAAGUUUUCCAGCUUAGAAUCUAAAUAUCCCUGUUUUACACACAGCACCUUUCAAUACAACAAAACAGUUGUUAGAUGUAGCAUAUGUUAAAUUUCUAUCCAUCAAACAAAAUUACAAAUCUUUGACUGUGUGAAGCCUGCAACACCGACAAAAACCCGCAAAGAGAAGACUUGAAUGCCCAACUCCAAACAGAAGGUAGAUCAGAGCUUUGUGCACAGAGAGCAGGCGGGUUAAUCAUAUAAGCACCUGUCUGUUGUCUACUGUUCAUAUCAUAAAACAAAAUAACACUUGCUGAAACUGUUUUUUCUUCACACGACAUAGAGGCAAAAUCACACUGAAUCAGAGAAAGGCACAGGUUAUGUACCGUAGGACAGGCAGUUAAUGAGAAACGAGUGGAACCGAUCACAGCGGGGGACAAUAAAAACUGCUGCAAGAGCACACUAUAGCAUAAAGAAAGAAAAUAACCUCUACUUUGUGCCACCUUGUCUUCUCUCUCCUCUAAUCUUCUGCUUGUGACCCAGAAAGUGAUCUCAGCCAGCGUACAGUUUGAAACCAUGUCUCGAUUCUUAAAAUGCAUCUUCAGGAGAGAGAAGAUGAGAGGGAAGGGGGCACAGAUGAGCUGUGAGUGAGGAUGCAGGUGAAAGCUUUGCAAAAGCCUUUCCAGCAUCUGUGACAUAUAGGAGAGGAAUGACAGGCUGUGGAAAUCCACAUAUAAACAUACUUUAAACAGGUUGCCAUGAAGACUGAAAGGCCCGUCUGACAGUGAUGAUAAAGUAUAGUUCAGUUUGACUAUCUUCUGACGACAGCACAGCCUUUGGGGCUGAUUCUAGCUUUCCAGGUCCUCUACAGUCGCUGAUUUAUAUUACCGUCAUUUGUGGUCUGACUGGCAAUUUGAGAAGUAAAAUGCAUGGUGAAAUCAAGAAAUGAAGGCAGAUUAUUAGCAGCAUUUUAGAGAUAACAGAUGAAGAUUCUCUACUAUGGCUGUCCAGAGUGAUUUCCUGUAUAUGGUUAAUAGGCGGGUGCAUAUAUGGAAAAAAAACACCUAACCCUAAAAGAAUUCUAACAAAAGGUUUCUCAGCUGUUUUUAUUGUAUUAGAUGUUCUUAAUAACAUACUAAAAGUUUACCUAGGUUUGAGCUCUAGAAAGGUGCCAUUUUCAAGAUGGCAUCCGUGAUGCGUAGGAAGCCCAGGGAGACACCCCAGGUGAAUGGGGUAAAAUUUUUAACUAAUAGAUAUCACCAUCAAACUUCCCAAGUUUAUAACUUACAUUGAGACAAAUAUUUUUUGUAUUACAAGUUUUGUCAAAUGUUAGGUAUGAAUAUGAAAAUGAGGCAAUAUCUAAUUAAAUAUGCACUAAUUUGCAUAAAGUGUUAGGGUUAGGUUAGGUAAGGGGGAACCUUGGGGUAUUAGGGUUAGGGUCACAGGGCUAGGGUAAGGGUUAUGGGUUAGGGUUAAAAAAAAAGCUGUCCACAACCUUUUAGAAGCAUCUUUUAGACUAAUUGGAGUCGAUUAGUACAGAAAAAAUUAGGAAAAAUGUCCAAAAAAAAAUUCAAGUGUUAGGGUAACUUUGGGGUAUUGGGGUAAGGGUAAGGCUUAUGGGUUAGGGUUAAAAAAAAAAGCUGUCCACAACCUUUUAGAAGCAUCUUUUAGACUAUUUGGAGUCAAUUGGUACCAAAAAAUUAGAAAAAUGUCAAAGAAUAUUGAAGUGUUAGGGUUAGGUUCGGGGGAACCUUGGGGUAUUUGGGUGAUACUGAUGUCCUCUUUUAUUUACAACCAGUUGCUCCUCUGCUAAGUAAGAUUUAAAACAAACAGCAGUAGGAUGACAACAUUACAGGAGGGGCUGUGAUUUAACAUUGGUCAUAUCUGAGGUUAUAAUAAGGAUUUUUUUUUACUUUCAAUGUAUUGCAAAGUGUAUGUGAUAUUACAAGCCCUUAAAGGUUGGCCUAAUAUUAAGAAAUUUCAAGUGCAGUUCUCCCAGGAAAGCCUCUCACAGCGUGCUCAGUACAUCAUAGAACCCUUCACUUAGAGGACUGCAGAGGGAAGUCUAUUAAAAAUAUAAAAUCUUUACCUGAGUGUUUACUUCAGUUCUCUUUAUUAGAUACCCUUGCAUUACGCGGAUGUUUCAUUUACUUUAUCGCUCUGUAUUAGCAAGUGCAUAUCACAUUAAAGAAUGAUAAAUCCACUCCUGAGUUCACUGCCUCCAUUCCCUGACAAAUGGAGUAAUAAUAUGAUGUCUGCCCAUGGUGAAAUAUUUAAUAACCAGGACAGCAAAUAUUAAUGGUUGAAAGUGGAAGUGUGCUAUCAUGAGAAGGUGAACAUUAAUUUAAGAAGGAGAUGACAUUUGAGUGAUUGUAUCAGAGGCCUGUGAAGGCUCUUCUCUGUGUCUGUUAAUCUGCUGGAGAUAAAGAACGAAAGAAAUGAAGAAAAGACAUGCGAACACGCACAGGAAACUGUUAGUCGUUAUUCAUCCCUGAUCAGAUCCGUUUGAUUAAUGCCUUAUAAAGAUUUUCAACACCUUUAAUAUCUUAUGGUGUUAUCCUGCCCAAACAAGCUCAAAUAUCAGCAAUGAAAAAAAGCCGCUGUAAUGUUGGUGGCUUUAGAGGACAUCAGCUGGUAAUGUCAUAAAUCUAUUGGAACUACAGCCCAUCUAAAUGUCACUGAGUUUUAAGGGCAUGAACGUCUCAGAGGGAGCCGGCUCGGCCGUCAUGGGUGUUUUAUUGCAUCAGUGUGCUGCACCUGCGGGACCAUGCACACAACAAGUUACUGCCCUCACAACAUGCACUCUCUUUUCUGCUGCUAAAAGGCUUCUAGUAUAGUAUGAUUGAAUACAAAACUAAAUAUUAAGGCCACUCGUGUAAGAAUAGCUCCAACAUCUGCAAAAAAUGGGAAAACAUUGCCUUCGGUGUCUCCAGCCUGUAACUGUGAGGAUGUUGUGCUUUCAUUCAAAGAUAAGGAUUUUCACAGAGCACCCAUCAAAAUCAAACAUUCUGAAUUAACUUUAUAAAAGAAAAAGGAGCUAGUAAGUUAAACAAUAACCGUUAUUCGAGCUGUCGGUCGGCCAUUAAACACCUCAAUGGCUGAAGUCAAAGCUUGUCUUCUGGUUUAAAAGUCCGGAUUUGAUAUUGGAGAAAAACUCUGACUUAUAAAAACAGACUAAAGUUUGUCUUUCGGAGGACCAGUGUUGGAUGUAAUAUACUCCUGUGAUGUGCAGACCAGAUAUCAGGGAUUUGGCUGCAUCCCUAGCAGGCUCGAAGCAGCUGCCCAUUAGGUUUUCAUUGAUGUCUCCAAAGAUUCAAUAAAAGAUAAGGCACCCACAUCCAAAGUCCUGCUUACGUUUCUUCUUCUGUGCCCUUGAUGCAGGCUAUUUCUCACUCAUGGUAGCUUAUUCAUGGUGUGAAGCACUUGUUGACUGCCAGGUAUUAGAAAUCACCAACUGCUUCGAAACAUUCAGCUCUAUGGACAGAGAUGGAAAGUAUAAAAUGAGAAGUCAUGAAGACCUUGUUUGUACAGAGGCAUCCGUUCCCUUUGAUGUAUUUGGAUGUGUUCAGCAUUAAGAGCAAUGUUACAAAUCAGUCAGUGUAACUACAUUGAAUCUCUUUUCCUCUAUUGUUUGGCUCUAUAUGCUGACAGAAACACCAGUGUCAUAUCUAAAUGAAUAUUUCAUAGAUGGCAAUAAAGUCUGGUAGAGACAUCCAUGCUGCUCAGGGGAUGGAUUCUUCAGACUGAUGAUUUCUCACUUUUCACCUUUAACUUUUUCUCUGUGCUUGUAGCUGGUCAGAGACUUUUUCUUAUCCAGUGGAGACUUUAUGGACUGGCACCAAAAUAAAUGCAUGCAGGGGUUAUGAUGUAAAGCUACUACUACACAGACAAAUGGACUACUUUCAGGUAAAAGCUUUAUUUUUCCAUGAUUUUAUAUGCAAUUAAAUUCAUACAGAACAGUAAUCUCAUCAGCAUGGAUUUUUAUUCAUUCUUUUUCUUUAUGCUUGAUACGUGAUAUUUGAAGUGGCCUUUGCCUUUUAUCAGCACACUUGGGUAUAAAAGUGUCUAUGGAUGUUAUUGGAUCAAAAUGUUCUGGGGACUUUUUCGGGGGGGACUAUCCACCAGGAAGUCUGUAUUAGCGUGUUAUUAGUGUUGGCUGAUAUGAUCCUAUGAGAACUCUUAAAGCCCAAUUGCUUGGUACCGCAUUUCCAGCCCUUUAAUGUAACUCGUUGAAUGUCAUAUUAGAAAGUUGGAGCAUUAUAAAUAACUGUCUUGCCAUGCUUUGGGGCUUUGUAGUAUAGUGAGUUGGUAUAAUGAAGCCUGUUAAUCAUCCCUGUGGCUGAAUGCAACUCUAAAAUUCAAGUACACCCACAUGUAAUGAUUUUAAAGGCAUGUCUGACCCCAAGAGCUGUUUUGUUGUCGUAGAAAUUCUGUUCAAACUGGUGUCUUGCCCAUUUCGGAAAAUAGUUGUGCUUAAUAACCUUAAUGUUAGCACUGCUGCCGACUUUAUAAGCUCAGAUCACUCACCAAGGCUCCUGAGCGGACAGGAUGGCCGAGACAAAAGAUAAAAGGAGCAGUUAAUAAUAACAAUCUCAUUAUCUUUUGAUUCACAUUCAAAUAUGUC